UAAUAGUGUAUAUUAAAGUUGUUGCAGUUAAAAAGCUCGUAGUUGAAUGUUGGUGUCGAACGAGCGGUCAGCUUCGGCUGUACUGCUCUCUCGACUCCUUCCUUCUGUGGACUACGUCGCACUUUACUGUGUGGCGCUAGGACGCAGAUCGUUUACUGUGAAAAAAUUAGAGUGUUCAAAGCAGGCCGUACGCUUGAAUACAUUAGCAUGGAAUAAUGGAAUAGGACGUCGGGCCUAUUUUGUUGGUUCUAGGACCGUCGUAAUGAUUAAUAGGGACAGUUGGGGCCGUUUAUAUUCCGUAGUCAGAGGUGAAAUUCUUGGAUUUACGGAAGAUAAACUACUGCGAAAGCACUCGGCAAGGAUGUUUUCGUUAA
Molecule: ribosomal RNA, 374 nt
Filed under: uncultured eukaryote
Lineage: Eukaryota
Description: partial 18S ribosomal RNA
Rfam family: Eukaryotic small subunit ribosomal RNA
Source: RNAcentral